RNAcentral lists this transfer RNA (73 nucleotides) under Dysosma delavayi. RNAcentral describes it as "tRNA-Ala". It matches the Rfam family "tRNA". From Rfam's summary of the family: Transfer RNA (tRNA) molecules are approximately 80 nucleotides in length. Their secondary structure includes four short double-helical elements and three loops (D, anti-codon, and T loops). Further hydrogen bonds mediate the characteristic L-shaped molecular structure. tRNAs have two regions of fundamental functional importance: the anti-codon, which is responsible for specific mRNA codon recognition, and the 3' end, to which the tRNAs corresponding amino acid is attached (by aminoacyl-tRNA synthetases). tRNAs cope with the degeneracy of the genetic code in two manners: having more than one tRNA (with a specific anti-codon) for a particular amino acid; and 'wobble' base-pairing, i.e. permitting non-standard base-pairing at the 3rd anti-codon position. Lineage: Eukaryota; Viridiplantae; Streptophyta; Magnoliopsida; Ranunculales; Berberidaceae. The record is from RNAcentral.
GGGAUAUAGCUCAGUUGGUAGAGUUUCUUGUCUUACAAGCGGAUGUCAGCGGUUCGAGUCCGCUUAUCUCCAG